UUUCAAUGUGAUGGUGGGGGUGAGUUCACAAGCAAUAAGUUCACAAAUCACCUACAACAACAUGGGAUUCAACAGUUAAUUUCUUGCCCUCAUACACCACAACAAAAUGGGCUAGCAGAGAGAAAACAUAGGCACCUGAUAGAGCUUGGUUUAGCUAUGAUCUGUCACAGCAGAGUUCCUCUCAAGUUUUGGGUUGAAGCCUUUUAUACAGCCAACUUUCUCAUCAACCUGCUGCCUACAUCAACUCUGGCAGAAAACAAGAGUCCCUUUGAAGUUCUGAAUGGACAACAACCAGAGUAUACGUCAUUAAGAACAUUUGGAUGCGCCUGUUAUCCCACUUUAAGAGACUAUGCUCAACACAAGUUUGAUCCAAGGUCAUUGAAGUGUGUAUUUCUAGGCUACAAUGAGAAAUACAAAGGUUAUAGAUGCUUACUCGUGGCAUCAGGGAGAGUGUACAUCAGCCGCCAUGUCCUGUUUGAUGAACAAGACUUUCCUUUUCACAGGUCUGCACCAACCCCGCAAAUGGUCUCAACACCUCUCCUUGCUGCCUGGUCCAAGAGUAUUCCCAUACCACCACCUGACAAGGCACCUGAUCAACAAGAUCUCAACAAGUCAGAAUGCUCACUCAUUACUCCUAUAUCUGGUAAUCUUAUAAAACCACCAGUUACCUCUGAAGCAUCCGUGGAUCCUUUACAGCUUGAGGCACAAACUAUUGUGAGAGAUGAGGAGAAUUCUGGGUGUACGGCAGGCUUUGAUCCUGAUCCUAUAGGCAACAGUUCUCCUUCAUCUUCUCAUAGUAGUGACAGUGCAGCUACUAUGUCCCCAACACUCAGCAAUUCACCUACAACAGAAACAGAACAAUAUGAGUCUGCUCAACAACAACAAGAAACAAAUGCAACAACAAGUCAAGUUAUACAAGAAGCAGCUCCAGUACAUCCCAUGAUCACAAGGUCUAAAGCAGGUAUCAGAAAACCUAAUCCCAGAUAUGUGCUGUUCACCUCCAGAGUAACAUAUCCAGAGCCAAAAACUGUUACUGCUGCCCUUAAAGAUUCUGGAUGGAAUGGAGCCAUGAAUGAGGAGUAUGAUAACUGCCAAGAAGCAGGAACAUGGUCCCUAAUCCCUAGAACACCAGACAUGCACAUUCUGGGUUGUAAAUGGGUAUUCCGUACAAAGCUCAAUGCAGAUGGAACACUAGAUAAACUCAAGGCAAGAUUGGUGGCCAAGGGCUUUGAUCAAGAAGAGGGUAUUGAUUAUCUUGAAACCUACAGCCCUGUAGUAAGAACACCUACAGUAAGAUCAGUUCUACAUCUUGCUACUAUUAUGGGUUGGGAAAUAAAACAAAUGGAUGUUAAAAAUGCAUUCUUACAUGGAGAUCUUACUGAAACUGUGUACAUGACACAACCUGCCGGCUUCAUUGAUCCUGCACAUCCAGAUUAUGUUUGUCAUCUGCACAAGUCACUGUAUGGUCUAAAACAAUCACCACGAGCAUGGUUUGAUAAGUUUAGCACUUAUCUUUUGGAGUUUGGCUUCGUCUGCAGCAUGUCAGACCCUUCUCUGUUCAUCUACACCAAAGGUAAAGCUAUUAUUCUGCUAUUACUAUAUGUGGAUGAUAUGGCUAU
This 1619-nucleotide long non-coding RNA is filed under the name Arabidopsis lyrata. RNAcentral's name for it is "long non-coding RNA (ALYR_LNC001154)". The record is from RNAcentral. Lineage: Eukaryota; Viridiplantae; Streptophyta; Magnoliopsida; Brassicales; Brassicaceae.